ACCAAUAAUAAUACUUCAACAAUUACGUAUUUGUCCUAAGGGCCAGUUGAGGAGCUUCCCGUUGUCCAAGGGGAUAUGUUCUUCAAAGAGCGGCACAUGUAGGUCUGGUAAAAUGUGGUAGACACCGCAGGCACAUUUGUCUAAUCAGAGGAGGUAUAAUGCGCAAUUGCAAUUAUUCAAUUGUAAGACAAUCGUGAUCUCUUUAGUGCCUUUGUUGCAUAAGAUAUUUUAUUUUCCUCUAUUUAAGCAUUCUCAAUUUCUAAAGUAGUGACAUGUUUGGUCACUCGCUUACUGAGGUAGCUUUAAAGUGUUAGUCGCUAAGCUGAUAUUGCUAGGAGUGUGUCCCUGGAACGGAAGAAACUGCAAGAAAAAUGAUAGGGUACCAAACACAUACUAUAUAUUUAUUUUCUCCGGGAAGAAUGGCAAGUUUAGCAAGAUAAGGCGUGAAUACACGCAUUCAUCAGUUUUGUAUAUGUCAGUUACAGCUUGCCAUCCGUUUAUUGCAGGAAGGUACUUAGUUCUCUAAUUCAGAUGGAUGCUUUGUUGCUUCCCUUGACACCUUGAGUUAGACCUAAAUAUUGUCUGUCUUCUUGGUCUUUUUCCUUCUAAGUGCAGCCGGUCCAAUCCAUUAUACCAAUACUCAGAUGAAAGACUAGAAAUUGAUAUUAUUAUUAUUAUGUC
Nicotiana tabacum (common tobacco) is the source of this 681-nucleotide non-coding RNA. Lineage: Eukaryota; Viridiplantae; Streptophyta; Magnoliopsida; Solanales; Solanaceae. The record is from RefSeq and is a predicted model, not a curated record.